CUAUAAUGCACCAUCAUAAAAACCAAGAUUGCAAAGACAGCCAAAAUCAUCAUUCCAACUUUCCUUGGACUUGAAUAUCUGAAAAAACAAGAAAGAAACCUUUCCUUCUCCCUCGCAACGGAACUGUAUAUCUUUGAAGUCUUUCGAACAGUGUACAAAUUCUGAGCCUGCAACCCUUCACUCUGUGCCUGUAGCUGCAUUGACUCAAAACUUGAUGAUGUUCGAAGACUCAGCGACGCUCCAUUCAUUAUAUCUCCAAUACCCAAAUAACCUUCAUCUCUUUUUGCCCUUAAAUCUCCCCUUCAUCCACAAAUAAACACAAUAGCGUAUCAUACCAGAAUAAAAAAUCACCAUCCAAAUAAUAAUAACUUAAUAUAUUACAGACGACACUAAGAUACAUUAACAAAAUCCAAAUUCAGUAAAUUUGGCAUACAUGAAAUAAUAGAAGAGAAAUCAAAACUUAGUUAUUAAACAUUCUCAUCAACUCACCAAAUCUAUCGUUCCAUUAAAGUUAAAGUCAAAACUUAGUUAUUAAAAAUUCUCAUCAACUCACCAAAUCUAUCGUUCCAUUAAGGUUAAAGGAUCGACUUUACUCAACACGAAAGUUCAAUCACUUUCUCCAAAACAAAGAGCACCGCAAUGCCAAAAUUGACUUAGUAAUUACAAAACCACAAACAGGAAUCCCCGUUUACCCACACUAACUACCAAUCAAGGGGAAUUAUAAGUCAUAGAUACACUUUCACUUAGAUACAAGCUUAAUCCGAAAUCGAACUUUCAGAAUUAUACAAACAUUAGAAAUCUAGAUCAAUGCGGCACAUUAUGGAUAAUCAAAGCCUAAUGGGCCCAUCAAACAAGGAUAUUUACAAACAUUAAAUUAAGCUGUGUACCUUUGUAUAAUGUGUAUGCAUUAAAUAGGAUAAUAUUUUUGCAGAGAUAAAGAUUAUAGUGCGUUUGAUUGCCUCUAUUAGUGAUUUCUUCGCCUUGGUCUCUCUCCCUAGAAACAGUUGCAUCCUCGAUUUUGUCAAUUUAUUUAUAAUGUUUAAUUAUUUUAUUUUAUUUUUU
This 1062-nucleotide long non-coding RNA is filed under the name Olea europaea (common olive). Its description in RNAcentral is "long non-coding RNA (OEUR_LNC009339)". Lineage: Eukaryota; Viridiplantae; Streptophyta; Magnoliopsida; Lamiales; Oleaceae. The record is from RNAcentral.